Molecule: ribosomal RNA, 253 nt
Filed under: uncultured bacterium
Lineage: Bacteria
Description: partial 16S ribosomal RNA
Rfam family: Bacterial small subunit ribosomal RNA
Source: RNAcentral
UACGUAGGGGGCAAGCGUUAUCCGGAUUCACUGGGUGUAAAGGGAGCGUAGACGGCCAUGCAAGCCUGGAGUGAAAGCCCGGGGCCCAACCCCGGGACUGCUCUGGGAACUGUGCGGCUGGAGUGCGGGGGGGGCAGGCGGAAUUCCUGGUGUAGCGGUGAAAUGCGUAGAUAUCAGGAGGAACACCGGCGGCGAAGGCGGCCUGCUGGACCGCGACUGACGUUGAGGCUCGAAAGCGUGGGGAGCAAACAGG